Molecule: ribosomal RNA, 2761 nt
Filed under: human metagenome
Description: bacterial LSU rRNA
Rfam family: Bacterial large subunit ribosomal RNA
Source: RNAcentral
AGUGCACAUGGUGGAUGCCUUGGCAGUCAGAGGCGAUGAAAGACGUGAUAGCCUGCGAUAAGCGUCGGUGAGGUGGCAAUAUCCUGUGACCCGGCGAUUUCUGAAUGGGGAAACCCAACCAACACAAGUUGGUUAUUACAUAGUUUACUGUGUAAGGCAAACCGGGAGAAGUGAAACAUCUCAGUACCCCGAGGAAAAGACAUCAAAUGAGAUUCCGUAAGUAGCGGCGAGCGAACACGGAGGAGCCGAUCAAUUUUACAGUAGCAAAAUGGCGUGGGAAAGCCAACCAUAGUAGGUGAUAGUCCUGUAUGCGAAACUGUUUAAGCGACAUAUUAAGUAGGGCGGAACACGAGAAAUUCUGUCUGAAGAUGGGGGGACCAUCCUCCAAGGCUAAAUACUCCUGACUGACCGAUAGUGAACCAGUACCGUGAGGGAAAGGCGAAAAGAACCCCUGUUAGGGGAGUGAAAUAGAACCUGAAACCGUGUGCAUACAAGCAGUCGGAGCGGACUUGUUCCGUGACGGCGUACCUUUUGUAUAAUGGGUCAGCGACUUAUAUUCUGUAGCAAGGUUAACCGAAUAGGGGAGCCGUAGGGAAACCGAGUCUUAAUAGGGCGAAUGAGUUGCAGGGUAUAGACCCGAAACCGAGUGAUCUAUCCAUGAGCAGGUUGAAAGUGCCGUAACAGGCACCGGAGGACCGAACCCACUGUCGUUGAAAAGCCAGGGGAUGACUUGUGGAUAGGGGUGAAAGGCUAAUCAAACUCGGUGAUAGCUGGUUCUCCCCGAAAGCUAUUUAGGUAGCGCCUCGGACGAACACCAUUGGGGGUAGAGCACUGUUUCGGCUAGGGGGUCAUCCCGACUUACCAAACCGAUGCAAACUCCGAAUACCGAUGAGUGAUAUCCGGGAGACAGACGGCGGGUGCUAACGUCCGUCGUCAAGAGGGAAACAACCCAGACCGCCAGCUAAGGCCCCAAAUUCCUAGUUAAGUGGGAAACGAUGUGGGAAGGCACAGACAGCUAGGAGGUUGGCUUAGAAGCAGCCACCCUUUAAAGAAAGCGUAAUAGCUCACUAGUCGAGUCGGCCUGCGCGGAAGAUGUAACGGGGCUCAAACUAGGAGCCGAAGCUGCGGAUUUAAUUGUUUCAAUUAAGUGGUAGGGGAGCGUUGUGUAAGCCUGUGAAGGUGUAUCGUAAGGUAUGCUGGAGGUAUCACAAGAGCGAAUGCUGACGUGAGUAACGACAAAACGGGUGAAAAGCCCGUUCGCCGGAAGACCAAGGGUUCCAGUCCAACGUUAAUCGGGGCUGGGUGAGUCGACCCCUAAGGCGAGGCCGAAAGGCGUAGUCGAUGGGAAAUCGGUUAAUAUUCCGAUACUUGUUUAUGAUGCGAUGGAGGGACGGAGAAGGUUAUGUCAGCCUGGCGAUGGUUGUCCAGGUGGAAGGAUGUAGUUAGACUGAGUAGGCAAAUCCGCUCGGUUAUUAAUGAGAUCUGAUAGCAAGCCAGUUUACUGGCGAAGUGGCAAAUACCCUGCUUCCAGGAAAAGCUUCUAAGCGAUAGUCAUAAACGAAUCGUACCCGAAACCGACACAGGUGGUCAGGUAGAGAAUACCAAGGCGCUUGAGAGAACUCUGCUGAAGGAACUAGGCAAAAUGGUACCGUAACUUCGGGAGAAGGUACGCUGCCGAUGGUGAUGAAACUUGCUUUCUGAGCUGUUGGCAGUCGCAGAUACCAGGCUGCUGCAACUGUUUAUUAAAAACACAGCACUCUGCAAACACGAAAGUGGACGUAUAGGGUGUGAUGCCUGCCCGGUGCUGGAAGGUUAAUUGAUGGGGUUAGCGUAAGCGAAGCUCUUGAUCGAAGCCCCAGUAAACGGCGGCCGUAACUAUAACGGUCCUAAGGUAGCGAAAUUCCUUGUCGGGUAAGUUCCGACCUGCACGAAUGGCAUAAUGAUGGCAGCGCUGUCUCCAGCAGAGACUCAGUGAAAUCGAAAUCGCAGUGAAGAUGCUGUGUACCCGCGGCUAGACGGAAAGACCCCGUGAACCUUUACUACAGCUUUACAUUGAACUUUGACCUAACUUGUGUAGGAUAGGUGGGAGGCUUUGAAGCAGAUACGCCAGUAUUUGUGGAGCCAACCUUGAAAUACCACCCUGGUUAUGUUGGGGUUCUAACUUAGGAUUAACAAAUCCAAGGACAAUGUAUGGUGGGUAGUUUGACUGGGGCGGUCUCCUCCUAAAGAGUAACGGAGGAGUACGAAGGUGCGCUCAGAACGGUCGGAAAUCGUUCAAAGAGUAUAAAGGCAAAAGCGCGCUUAACUGCGAGACCCACAAGUCGAGCAGGUACGAAAGUAGGUCUUAGUGAUCCGGUGGUUCUGUAUGGAAGGGCCAUCGCUCAACGGAUAAAAGGUACUCUGGGGAUAACAGGCUGAUACCGCCCAAGAGUUCAUAUCGACGGCGGUGUUUGGCACCUCGAUGUCGGCUCAUCUCAUCCUGGGGCUGAAGCAGGUCCCAAGGGUAUGGCUGUUCGCCAUUUAAAGAGGUACGCGAGCUGGGUUUAGAACGUCGUGAGACAGUUCGGUCCCUAUCUACCGUGGGCGUUGGAAAUUUGAGAGGAUCUGCUCCUAGUACGAGAGGACCAGAGUGGACGAACCUCUGGUGUUUCGGUUGUCACGCCAGUGGCAUUGCCGAGUAGCUACGUUCGGAUGGGAUAACCGCUGAAAGCAUCUAAGCGGGAAGCCCACCUCAAGAUAAGAUUUCCCUAAGAGCCGUUGU